RNAcentral lists this long non-coding RNA (247 nucleotides) under Sorghum bicolor (sorghum). RNAcentral describes it as "long non-coding RNA (SBIC_LNC016516)". The record is from RNAcentral. Lineage: Eukaryota; Viridiplantae; Streptophyta; Magnoliopsida; Poales; Poaceae.
GAGUCAACAAUCACCGAAUUUAGUUUGCUUUGAAUACUGAGCCGACAUUGGAGCAAUAGGUCGCCUCCAGAGAGGUCCAAGAGAGCAGAUUCAUGUACCUGUUCAAUUGUUCAUGUCUGGUGGAGUCUGAAGGCUAGAGCCCAGAGGAUUUGUACUCACCAAUUCUUCCUUCGCAUUGUUGACGGGGUGAAAUCGAUGGUGAGGAUGUCUUGGGAGCCGACGUGAUGAAUAAUGCAUAGUAGUGGCC